UAGGGAAUUUUUCACAAUGAGCGAAAGCUUGAUGGAGCAAUGCCGCGUGAACGAUGAAGGUCUUUAAGAUUGUAAAGUUCUUUUAUUUGGGAAGAAUGACUUUAGCAGGUAAUGGCUAGAGUUUGACUGUACCAUUUUGAAUAAGUGACGACUAACUAUGUGCCAGCAGUCGCGGUAAUACAUAGGUCGCAAGCGUUAUCCGGAUUUAUUGGGCGUAAAGCAAGCGCAGGCGGAUUGAAAAGUCUGGUGUUAAAGGCAGCUGCUUAACAGUUGUAUGCAUUGGAAACUAUUAAUCUAGAGUGUGGUAGGGAGUUUUGGAAUUUCAUGUGGAGCGGUGAAAUGCGUAGAUAUAUGAAGGAACACCAGUGGCGAAGGCGAAAACUUAGGCCAUUACUGACGCUUAGGCUUGAAAGUGUGGGGAGCAAAUAGGAUUAGAUACCCUAGUAGUCCACACCGUAAACGAUAGAUACUAGCUGUCGGGGCGAUCCCCUCGGUAGUGAAGUUAACACAUUAAGUAUCUCGCCCGGGUAGUACAUUCGCAAGAAUG
This 547-nucleotide ribosomal RNA is filed under the name uncultured bacterium. RNAcentral's name for it is "bacterial SSU rRNA". It matches the Rfam family "Bacterial small subunit ribosomal RNA", at positions 355 to 896 of the family's 1533-position model. The record is from RNAcentral.